AAUAUUAAUAGAGCCAAUGUGUGGGAUGGAGCAAUCCGCGGCUUCAAAGGGGCCUCAUUCGACCCCUCUCAUCAGAUGCAGGUUAAGUUUACUGAUGAUGAGGGACAAACUGAGGAUGGAGUGGACACUGGUGGUCCCAAGCGUGAGUUCCUGACCCUCCUAAUGGAAUGCCUGAGAAUGAGAAGAAUAUUUGAUGGUCCACAGGACAGGAAAUUCCUCAAGUUCGACAAUGCAGCUGCAAAAGAUGACGAAUACUUUCAUGCUGGGAGGAUGAUUGCAACUUCUAUAGUUCAAAAACACAAGGAGAAAAAGAAGAAAACAUGUCAUGGCUCACUGUCUUAAAAUCUGAUUCUAAAUGUAUAAUGUUCUUUAUAAAGAUAUAACUAAUACACAAUUAUGAAUGUAUAAUA
Gymnodraco acuticeps is the source of this 410-nucleotide long non-coding RNA. RefSeq lists it as uncharacterized. The transcript is spliced from 2 exons. The record is from RefSeq and is a predicted model, not a curated record. Lineage: Eukaryota; Metazoa; Chordata; Actinopteri; Perciformes; Bathydraconidae.